RNAcentral lists this long non-coding RNA (508 nucleotides) under Helianthus annuus (common sunflower). Its description in RNAcentral is "sRNA HanXRQr2_Chr04g0180011". Lineage: Eukaryota; Viridiplantae; Streptophyta; Magnoliopsida; Asterales; Asteraceae. The record is from RNAcentral.
UUUUCGGUAGUGAAAAAGGGGCUUUUUGACUUUCCAGAACCAUCAAAUCAUCAUAUCACUUUCUCUUUCUCUUACCUCUUCCUCUUUCCCAUUUCUUCAACCCAAUCUUGAAGACAAAGAAUGAACACUCUUCAAAAUCAGGAGAAAUAAACAACCACCACCAGCAACCACCUCCUCCGGCGAAACUCACCAGGCUUCUUCUCCGGCUCUCUCUCUCCUUAAUCUUUAGAAGCUAAUGAAGGGUCUGAAUGUUGUUUUAGAGAGAGAGAACGAUGACAACAAUCUUCAUCAUGUUCAUCUAUAACACCAAGAACACACAUACAAGUGAGAGAGAGAGAGAGAGAGAGGAAGUUUGAACACACAUACAGACGACUCGGGUCAGAUUCAUGUUCAGAUCCAUAAAGAUAUUCAAUUGACAAGCUGGAUGGAUGUAGGCGACGUUAAUGCGGGGACAUUGAAUAAGUCAAAUCUUCUGGGAAAGAAGUUUUCGUUCAUUUAUAACAUGUGU